Molecule: ribosomal RNA, 253 nt
Filed under: uncultured bacterium
Lineage: Bacteria
Description: partial 16S ribosomal RNA
Rfam family: Bacterial small subunit ribosomal RNA
Source: RNAcentral
UACGUAGGGUGCAAGCGUUGUCCGGAAUUAUUGGGCGUAAAGAGCUCGUAGGCGGUUUGUCGCGUCUGCUGUGAAAACUCGGGGCUUAACCCCGGGCCUGCAGUGGGUACGGGCAGACUAGAGUGCGGUAGGGGAGACCGGAAUUCCUGGUGUAGCGGUGAAAUGCGCAGAUAUCAGGAGGAACACCGGUGGCGAAGGCGGGUCUCUGGGCCGAUACUGACGCUGAGGAGCGAAAGCGUGGGGAGCGAACAGG